GAGGGUGGAGCUCAGUGGUAGAGCACAUGCUUAGCAUGCACCAGGUCCUGCAUGGGGUCCUGGGUUCAAUCCCCAGCACCUCUG
This 84-nucleotide transfer RNA is filed under the name Camelus bactrianus (Bactrian camel). It matches the Rfam family "tRNA". Rfam says of the family: Transfer RNA (tRNA) molecules are approximately 80 nucleotides in length. Their secondary structure includes four short double-helical elements and three loops (D, anti-codon, and T loops). The record is from Rfam by way of RNAcentral. Lineage: Eukaryota; Metazoa; Chordata; Mammalia; Artiodactyla; Camelidae. RNAcentral also lists the same sequence under 2 other names.